Molecule: long non-coding RNA, 1043 nt
Organism: Pipra filicauda (Wire-tailed manakin)
Lineage: Eukaryota; Metazoa; Chordata; Aves; Passeriformes; Pipridae
Exons: 2
Source: RefSeq, a predicted model, not a curated record
CGUCCCGCAUCCCGCGUCCCGCAUCCCGCGUGGGGACCCCGCGGCUCCCGCGGCACCGCAGGGAAGCGGCGCGCUGAGGUGGGAGAGCGCCAGGCGUCCAGGGGAGGUCAGAGAUGCUCAAAUAAAGAACCGCAGAAUCGUCAGGGACCUCUUGGAGAUCGUCCGGUCCGACCUCACUGCCAAAGCAGGGUCACUUGGAGCAGUUUAUGGCCACUGCUCCUUGUCCUGUCGCUGGGCACCACCGAAAAGAGUCUGGCACCGAAAAGAGUCCUCUUGGCACCCGCCUGUGAGAUAUUUAUAUGCAUCUCAAACGCAGACCCCCAUGCCUUUGGUGUCCUUCUCCAACUCAGCAAGGGGACAGUGGAGUGCUUCUGUGCCUUGUUAUGGAAGCUGUUUUCUCAGGAAAGUAAUGCCUGUCAGUUUUAUGGCACCAUGCACACAGAUUUUCACUGGCAAAACCAUAUUUUUCUGUUCACGGAGGCAGAGUUUUUAAUGAGAAUUACUUAACUGAAAAACUGGAGAUGGAGGUGAAGCUUCUUUGAAGAUUGGCUUGUAAAAGCUAUCACAGACUGCUCCCGCCAGGAAGUGCUAUCAUGUGAACUAGAAAGACUCCAGCAAGCCUACAUCCUUUUCAUGACUUACAGUUUUAGUAUUGUCCAAUAAUCCAGGCAGAUAUGUUUUCGUCUAAGGACCUUUUUCCUUCACCAUGAUGAAAAUGUUGAAAUAAAGAACAGUUUGUUUGCCAGAUCAUUGGCAAGAUUCUAUUUGAAGUCAUUUCUGUCUUCGAGUUUCUAGCAAUUAAUUAUUUGUCACUGCAUUGGAAAUCACUACCAGAAAGGUGCACAUAAACAACAUCGAGACAUUCCAAAAGAGGGAAUAUUUUCAACUCUAGGUUGACAACUAUGAAGUUGACCAGUUUUGGUUUUUCUCUGCAGAGAGCCCGAUGCUGUUUCCAAAGACGCAUGGUGCUUUUACAGUGAAAAAUGUAUGAUUGCUAUGCCUCUAUAAAUUGUGCUUCCAAUAAAAGUGACCAUAAAAGAACA